GACGAACGCUGGCGGCGUGCAUAACACAUGCAAGUCGAGCGGAGCGGCGAACGGGUGAGUAACGCGUGAGUAACUGCCCCCCUCUCUGGGAUAACAGUUGGAAACGGCUGAUAAUACCGGAUAGUGGGGGAUGACUCGCGUCGUAUCAGCUUGUUGGUGGGGUGGUGGCCUACCAAGGCGACGACGGGGAGCCGGCCUGAGGGGGCGACCGGCCACAUUGGGCUGAGAUACGGCCCAAACUCCGACGGGGGGCAGCGGGGUGGAAUAUGGCACAAUGGGGGAAACCCUGAUGCAGCAACGCCGCGUGCGGGAUGACUGCCUGCGGGUUGUAAACCGCUUUCAGCCAUUACGCGGUAGUGGCAGAAGAAGCACCGGCUAACUCCGUGCCAGCAGCCGCGGUAAUAC
Molecule: ribosomal RNA, 405 nt
Filed under: uncultured bacterium
Lineage: Bacteria
Description: partial 16S ribosomal RNA
Rfam family: Bacterial small subunit ribosomal RNA
Source: RNAcentral